CGGCGUCACGAGUGGCAAUCACGUUUAUUGGGUCUAAAGCGUUCGUAGCCGGUUUAGUAAAUCUUUUGUGAAAUUGUCGGGCUUAACCUGACACCGUGCAGAAGACACUGCUAAACUAGAGACCGGGAGGGGUUAGAAGUAUUUCAGGGGGAGCGGUAAAAUGUUAUAAUCCCUGAAAGACUACCAAUGGCGAAGGCAUCUAACCAGAACGGAUCUGACGGUGAGGAACGAAGGCUAGGGGAGCGAACCGGAUUAGAUACCCGAGUAGUCC
Molecule: ribosomal RNA, 271 nt
Filed under: uncultured archaeon
Lineage: Archaea
Description: partial 16S ribosomal RNA
Rfam family: Archaeal small subunit ribosomal RNA
Source: RNAcentral